CAUCCUUAUAGACAUGUAGCUGCCGUGAAUGCUUGACUCUCCCUCCCUGCAUCCCCUCAUGUGACUGCCAAACUAUUUUUUCCAUUAAGACUUAUCAUACACAUCACUGCCUCUAUAGCGAGACCUCCCUUUUGGCCCCCACAGCACUGCUGCAGAGACUGCUGGAAGCCACCAAAGAUUGCUGCUCCACUUCCUCGUGAAGAUUACACUGAUUUUCUUAGAAGUAGCUGCCAAUUUUCCAGCUGCCUUGCAUCAAGGUAGAGCCGUGUAACCGAGGAAUGUGGACAUUAAAUGACAUGUAUCAUUUCCAGGGAGAAAUCUGUGAAUCCACCAUGAAUUCCUCCCUCUACCUACCAGCUGGGUGACCCCAGGGUGACCUUAAAAGAAUGGAAUGGUGGAGACACAAGGUAGAAGCAGCCCCAGUCUCUGAGUCAUUGCUUAGAGGAAAGACAGCCAGGAGAGCUAUCCAUUUAUGGUCACCAGCACUGGAUUUUACAUAAGCAAGAAAUACAUUUCUUUGUCUUAAGCCAGCAGGAUUUGGAGUUCUUUUUUGGAGGGGGUGGGGGCACAUCUGUGGUAUGCUGAAGUUUCUGGUCCUGGGACAGAACUCGCAUCUAACCUGAGCUAUGGCAGUGAUGAUGCUGGAUCCUUAACCUGCUAAGCCACCAGGGAACUCCCAAGUUGGAGUUCUUUAUGAUAGUAAUUCCCUAUAUCUUGAUCUUUGCCCUCUACUCUAAAUAAAGUAAUACCUUCUUUACAGAAUGAUGCUUAUGUCUUUACAUGUCUGCCUCCCUUCCAAAAUUGCUUGUGAAUUACUUGUACACUGAGUCCUGAGCCCAGCCUAAGGAAGGCUCUUACGUAAGUCUAGUGAAUUGAAUUCAAUAGGGAUACUAAAGGAUGCUGAUAGAGCCAGAGCUGUAAUAGGAUUCUACAAGACUCUGUCUCCUAACCUACAUCUAUGGUACCUGAGAGUUCUUCACUUAAACUGACACAGCUGUCCUAACCCCACAGUCAGGACACCCUGAGCUGCAAAACUCUCCCCUCUACCAAAAGGACCAAGUUGAUUUUUUUUUUUUAUCACCUCUACUCUAUGCAUUGUACUUGCAGCUAUCUAAAUCUGCCUUGACACCAUGCUUUUAUGUGCUGGAUCAAUAAAUCUAUCUACUGUAGAUUUACUCAUUCUUUAGUGAAUUUCUAGCAAAAUAAGUUCCGUACCUGUGAACAUAGCAUGAAUAUGGCAUUUUAUUAAUGUUGCAGAAUUUAUUUGUUCUCUUGGUGUGUCCAUUUUCCCCCUUAGAUUCUAUGCCCAGUAAAGGCAAAAACUUCUUGUAUCUUUGUAUCCUUAGCAGCCAUUCGAUAUUUUGCCCAGGGCAGAUUCCAUAAAUGUGUUUUUAAGUUGAAAAGUGUGGAGGAAAUUAAGAAGUAGAAUUAAAUACAAAAUUUUAUGAUUGCUCUCUAAUAAAAAAAUCUCUUCUAUAGGGAAUAUUUAUAACCCCCUCUAAUCAGAUCAAAGGGCCAUGAAAUCAUAAUUGCUUAUUUAUUUAUAUAAACAGUUAUACUCUCCCAGAAAAAAGCUAGAGAUCUUUUUUUAAAAUUUUUAAGGAUUUUUAUUUUCUCUAUUAUAGUUGGUUUACAGUGUUCUGUAUUUUAAAAAAAAAAGGAAAAAAAUAGAGAUCAUUUUUGAUCAGUGAGAGAUCUUGAAUUUCUGAGGCCAUAAAAUGUGUGUGUUUACGUGUGUGUGCAUAUACUUCAUUUUGUAUCUAAGAGACGAAGCUGUUUGUAGCUUUCUUCAUCUUUAAAGGGAGCUGAGCUACUGACCAUGGCCUUCCCAAAGUUUGAGUGUCAACUGACUUAGCAGCCUUUUUCACAGCAAUGCUCAUCUCUGAAAAUUACCCAAUGAAUGAGAAACAGAGAAUUACAGAAAAGUGGGGAAAAAAAAAUCUAAGCACACUAAAAGAUCUAUUCCCAUUAUGUGCUGCAAAUUUGUAAAUGUGAGUUUAGGGAACUACUAAUAAAGUAGGUGUGAAUAAAAUUGCUUAUCUUGUUUGUCAACCUAUGUGGAAACCAUAUGACAAUUUUAGAACUUAUAGGUUGUUUUCAAAGCUGCACGUCUUGAAUAAUAUUUACUCUUACUGGGAAUACUUAGCUUAGGAAUCUUUACUGAAUUGCUCCAAAAUUCUUUGCAUUCUAAAAAGGCUGGGAGAUCUCAGGAACUAUAUUUUCCCCUGUAGGUACAAGCUAAUCCCAACUCAAUUUAAUAGUGUUGGCUUUUCAUUAUUAAGAAUUAAAUUCCUAAUGAUGUGAAUCUGACAUCUUCAUCAUCUAUAUUGCUGCAUUCUUCCCUAUCUUUCAAACCUCUUAGUCAUUGCUCAGCUUUAUAAUCAAAUUAAGAACACAUGUGUCAGACUUUGCUCAGAAACUGGAACUGUUCUUAACUUUAUCUGCAUGAAAACCCUGGAUUUCUUAAAGCCACUUCUUCAAACUACACUUGGCCCUCUUUAUUCCUUGAUCUCCAAGUUUCAAAAAGAGAACCUGUGCAUUCAGAGCCCACAUUUAGAAUGAUUAAAAGAAAAAAAUGAGGACCACGUGUAGUUGCCAAGUUGUCCUGACUUUGGUUCAGCAGGAUCAAGCACCCUCUCUCACAAAAUAAGCUUAUGAAGAGUCCAGCCCAUAUUUCUAGGGAGGAUCUGGCUUGAGUUUAGGCUGUUAGACAACUGGGAGAUUUCCAGCUGGUUGUAAAGAAAACUUUGUUGAAAGAUAUGUUUGUGUCGUUUAUUGUGCCCCAAAGGCAGAGGUAUGAGGAGAUUUCCUUUUUAGGAAUAAAUUAAAAUCUCAAGAUUCAAGAGACAGAGAAAGAAGCAUAUUGCCUUAGCAGAUAUUUAAGACAAGAUGUUGGGAACAAAGGCUAUUGUUUAAUGACGAGGGAGGGAUGGAUAAAUUAGGAAGUUGGGAUUGACAUAUAUACACUACCAGAUAUAAAAUUGAUAACUAACAAGGACCUAUUGUGUAGCACAGUGAAAUCUACUUGAUAUUCUAUAAUAACCUAGGUGGGAAAAGAAUCUGGGAAAAAAUGGAUAUAUGUCUAUGCAUAUCUGAAUCACUCUGCUAUAUACCUGAAACUAAUACAACCCUGUAAGUCAACUAUACUCCAAUAAAAACUUUUUAAAGAUACAGUUUAAGCAUGAUGUAGAAUCCCACACACAACCAAAACAGCAGCCAAAUCCAGACCAAGAGCCUUGGGACCUGGUCCUGGCUCUGGGCCUCAGGUUUUGAUGGACAAGUGGGAGGGGCUGCCAGGCGGUGCCUCAGUUCCUGCCCCCAAAGUUGGCCUCCUUGGAUCACCUAGUGCAUUGGCUCUCAUGUGGGCCACCCCUCACCCAGUUGGCAGUGGGCUGCAGGCACGUAAACAAUGUGUAGUCGUCGGAUCAACCACAAAGCUAAUGGAUCAUUAUCUUUAGGAAUCGAGCCUCAGAAUCUUGACUUUUAAAAACACCCCGGGUGCUUCCUAAUCAUAGUAAAGAAUGAGACCACCACUCAUUCGGAAUUACAACUGAGGGAGCAAAGCUGAAGAUUCAUGGACUGUGCAUUGGGUCACCCUUAUCAAUAUUCUCAUCAUAACUUGCUCCCCAAGUCUGAUCAGUGGGUAUCCUUUUCAUUAGGAUAGAGUCUCUAUCUUGUUUCUUAGCUCAAAUAAUUGGAAUUUUUGUCUUAUUCCUCCAUGACUUCUUGCAUAUGACCUACCUAAAACUCUGGUCCCCUGAAGAAGAUCAGCUCUGUGGCCCCCUUGUUGGAAGUGUGUCCCUGAACUGUUCCGUGACUGAAGCCUGCCUCUGGAUGACUGGCCUGCCUGCCCUGACUGAAACCGAGAAUCCCUGCCCCUGCGCUGUCCUUGGCUACCUGCUUCUCCCCGAUGGAGACUACAGCCUGUUGCCCAUCAAUCAGAGGCUUCAAAUACCAUAUUCAGGACCACUUUUUCUUUUAACCUUGCUUUGUGCCCCCUGGAAUUCUAUAAUUCUAGUGCAUGGGUUGGGCUUUUUCUCCUCCCUCACACUAUGGCAAUUACUUGUGCUCUGCCUCCAAAUAUGUAAGACAUUUUCUAAGGGAACUUUCAGUUAAAAAGUUCUGCAAUGCUCUGACUUUAGGAUCUUGGAAAUACAUGCAGGUACGAAUGACUGCAUUUCCCAAGUUUUCCCACCUUCCUCCAGGAUGGGAGAGACAUGGCUACUGGAAAUGUAAAGAUGAACAAAGAGACAGAUGAACCAUACAAGCUAGGACCUCGGAGGGUCAGGCUGAAGAGUUAAAAUAGGGUGACUUACUGUUUUCUAGGAUUGAAGGGUUCCUGGGAUGGGAUUUUCAGAACUCAAGCUGUAAAAGUCUCUAACAUACUAGAUGAACUGGACAUCCUAGAACUUGAAAUUGUUUGGAGUUGUGCUAAAUCAAAGAUUUGGGAUAUGAAAGACUGGGACCAAGAAGGAAAGGAAAUUCACGCCUCCCCUGUGUCAGGCACUGUACAUUUAUUAUCUUUUUCACUCCUCACAAUUGCCUUAUAGAGCAUUUAUUGCAGGGUUCAUUUUAGAGAUGAGGAAGCAGAAACACAGAGAGGUAGGUAACUAGGCAAGACCACAAAACAUGCCAGGUGUAAAGCCAAGAUACAAACCCAGGCAAUGUGGCUUUAUUCAUUUAAUUACCUCAAUUCUCUACUAUAAUGCACACAGACUGCAAUAAUGUCAAUGUUAUAGGAAAGCACAGCAACUAUUUAGUUAGCCCAACCUACUCAUUUUAUUAAUGGUAAACCAAAGACCUAAAGAAUAUAAGAGGUUUGAGAAGAUAAUGCGUAUAUCAGAAAGAAUGCAGCGUUAGAGACCAUACAAUCUGGGUUUGCUCCCUACCUCUGCCACUGAUUAACUGUGUCAUUUGUGCAAAUUACUCAGUCUCUCUAAAGCUCAAUUCCGUCAUCUGUGAAAUGAGGAUAAUAAUAUCUACUUCUUAGGAGGUUUCAGGAUGAAAGAAGGCAAUGGAUAGUAGAGUUCCUUACAUAUACUAAGGGAUUCAUAAUUGGAAUUUCCACUAGGUUUGUUGGUAGUAAUAGUAGUACUAGCGUAGGAACACAACUGCCUAGUAGUUACUACUGAUAUCUCAAUUACUACCACUACUUCUACAUAGUUUCAAAUAGUUGCCUGACAGUCCAUAUGUGAAUGCACCGUAAGUUAUUAGUUGUUCUUGCUACUAUGACUACUGCUUCUAUUACAUCAUCACCAUCACCAUCACGGUGAUGUUAGAUACAGAAGCACAUUUAAAAUAUGACUGCCUAAAUUAUCAUGAGGACAUAAGUUCUUCCUUAUUAUAGAAACUACACGAAAACCCAACCUAAAAGAGCCUAUAAUAAAGACCCUUGGCAUCCUAAAGAUUAUUCAUAAAGUGGCCACAAAGUUGCAGAUAAGAGAUACAAAAAUUUAAAUGGCAUAAAGCACAAAGAAGCAAACCCAGUGGGAGAGAGGAGGCUCUGGAAUCUUUGGCACUAAUGAUGUUUCUUUAGAAUAUUUUCCAAGGAAAAUAUAGAUCAAGUAUAUAUACUGGGUUGGGGGGGUUAUUUCUUUUGGCUUCAAUAUGUGUACUGCAAACGCAUCAGAGACAGUCCUGGAUUUUGUAGAAUAGAUUGGAGACUGUAAUAACACAGGGUCCACAAGCUAAUGCAACAGAGGUCUAAUUUUAUGGAGCUAUAUUUCUGUCAAAGUCAACAAAAUAACAGACCUAAAGGGAUUUCAGCCCUGGGAGGGGAUUUCAGCUUUGAAAGAAGCCAUCUUUCUCUGGUCUGCAUUUGACAUAGUGAAAUGUUAUUAACACAUGUUCAAAUGUAUAAGCAUUUCUAAAUAGGGAUAGAUGGUAGAAUAGUUUAUAACACUCUAUGUCACAUACAAACCAUCUCACAAGAUCAUUUUUACUACACAAGCAACAUAUAUUAUUAGAGGGAAAAAUUUACAAAAUUAAUUAAUUAAAAUAAAAUUAAAACCAUCCAUAAUCCCAUAAUCUGUGAUAAUGGUUGGGAAUACUUUGUUGUUUAUAUUUUCUGUUUCUGAGCAAAUAAAAACUCAUAUGGAAGUAAAUAUACACAAUUUUAAAUGUAUCAUAUUAUAUCCAUUUUUCCUUUAGCAAUACAGAAUAAAUAUAUUACCAUAUAUAAUACACAGAAUAACUAUAUUUCACACCAUAGUUUUCAAUAGCUGCCUGACAGUCCAUAUGUGAAUGCACCAUAAGUUAUUUGUCAAGCCACUGUUCAUGAAUAGUUGUUUACAACUUUCUUCCAAUUAAAACACUUCUAUAAACAUCCUUGUUUACAUACCUUGGCACACUUGUCUGAGUAUUUCCUUAAGCAUAAAAAAUUCCUAGAAAUGGAACUUCCGAAUCAGAUAGUGCACAUUUUUAAGGGUUUUUAACACAUACUUUGUAUUAAGUACUAUGCAUGUAUUUGUAAUAUGUAAAUAUUGCCAUAUUUCUCUACAGAACCACUGCACUGAUUUACACUUCCAGCAGUGGAUGUAAGUAAGCCUGCCCACUGUCCUGCACAGCUGAGUAAGCCACAGCUUGCCUGUGGUCAAGGCUGCUAACAGAAAGUCUAUGGAAACACUCUUAAUGUUGCUACCUUUGUGACACAAGGAAAUGCAGCUCCUAGGAGGACUGCCUGACCCACCCACUGGCUAACAGCUGUUGGCAACACCCAUGUCUAGUGUGAAGUCAUAGGCUGUCAAAGGAAAACACCAUCCAAACAUAACAAGGCAGUUGAAAGGUGCUAGACAUUGCCAAGAGAAAAGUUUUGAAUUUUUAAACGCCUAUCUGGGAGUUCCCAUUGUGGCAAAGUGGUGACAAAUCCAACUAGUAUCCAUGAGGAUGAGGGUUCAAUCCCUGGCCUCACUCAGUGUGUUAAGGAUCUGGCAUUGCUGUGAGCUGUGGUAUAGGUUGCAGAAGUGGCUGAGAUCCCACAUUGCUGUGGCUGUGGUGUAGGCUGGCAGCUACAUCUCUGAUUCGACCCCUAGCCUGGGAACUUCCAUAUGCCAUGGGUAUGGCUCUGAAAAAAAAAAAAAAAAAAAA
RNAcentral lists this long non-coding RNA (7086 nucleotides) under Sus scrofa (pig). RNAcentral's name for it is "lncRNA (ENSSSCG00030017223.1)". The record is from RNAcentral. Lineage: Eukaryota; Metazoa; Chordata; Mammalia; Artiodactyla; Suidae.